UCAAACAAUUUUGUGCUCGUAGAAAUUCAAUCAAAUCAAAUGGGGUGCUAUUUCCAAUUAAGUGUUUUCUUUUUUGUGUUGAUCACGUGAAGCUUAUCAAUGGAUUAUUGUUUGUGUUGCAGAAAAUUGUGUGGUGAACUAUCAUCAUACUUACUACCUAACUUUAUCAUCAACUCUCCAUCAUACUUUUCUCAUGCUCGUGAAGAGUAGCUCGUCAAACCAAUAUUGCAAAGGAUGCUGGCAUGCAAUCUUCAUGUCAUUUCGACUGAGCCUUUCAAGUAGUGUGAUUUUGAGUUGAAGAGUGAGCCCGCAACUAAGAUUGCAAAGAAUGUUGGCCAAAAAAGAUCAUUCUUCGCAAACUCAUCAUUGUAUGUAAGUAUGAAUGUGAUGGGAAGUGCAGCAUCUUCCUCACAACUGAGUUGAAAACGAUUGAAAGCCAUAAAUUCAGCAGUCUUCACACUAUUUCUACCUUGCCAGUCACCACACGUGAACCUCAACACCACUAUGCCUCGGACUACCAAGCCUGCGUCAUCAUCCUGAAAAUUGCUGGCCCUGUAAACUCCCCAGUCUACGGACAGCAAGCCUAAGUAAAAAAAAAAGGCCCUUCUUCACCUCGCCCGUCAUCGCUUCGCCCGUCGUCAUCGCUUCGCCCGUCGUCCCGUCAUCGUUU
Molecule: long non-coding RNA, 670 nt
Organism: Daphnia carinata
Lineage: Eukaryota; Metazoa; Arthropoda; Branchiopoda; Diplostraca; Daphniidae
Exons: 4
Source: RefSeq, a predicted model, not a curated record